This 457-nucleotide ribosomal RNA is filed under the name uncultured bacterium. RNAcentral describes it as "bacterial SSU rRNA". It matches the Rfam family "Bacterial small subunit ribosomal RNA", at positions 335 to 784 of the family's 1533-position model. The record is from RNAcentral.
ACUCCUACGGGAGGCAGCAGUGGGGAAUAUUGCACAAUGGGCGCAAGCCUGAUGCAGCCAUGCCGCGUGUAUGAAGAAGGCCUUCGGGUUGUAAAGUACUUUCAGCAGUGAGGAAGGCAGGUACGUUAAUAGCGGCCUCGUUUGACGUUAGCUGCAGAAGAAGCACCGGCUAACUCCGUGCCAGCAGCCGCGGUAAUACGGAGGGUGCGAGCGUUAAUCGGAAUUACUGGGCGUAAAGCGCAUGCAGGUGGUUUGUUAAGUCAGAUGUGAAAGCCCGGGGCUCAACCUCGGAAUUGCAUUUGAAACUGGCAGACUAGAGUACUGUAGAGGGGGGUAGAAUUUCAGGUGUAGCGGUGAAAUGCGUAGAGAUCUGAAGGAAUACCGGUGGCGAAGGCGGCCCCCUGGACAGAUACUGACACUCAGAUGCGAAAGCGUGGGGAGCAAACAGGAUUAGAUA